GUUCUGGACAGAAGGAAACAAGGCAGCAGCAUUGGGACUCCAAGAGCCCAGGAAGGGGUUCUGUCUGCUCAGACUCGGACCUUCCCAGUCCCUCUGCCAUCACUAGUAACCCUGGCAUGAAGCAGAUGGCUGCCUGGAACAGAGGCGAGAGGGACGGCGCCGAAGGACGGGAACGGGUAGGGGUCGCCCAGAAGCUGCCGUUCUGGAAAGUCUAGUUUAAAAACCCACCAAAGGGAACUUCCCUGUCGGUCCUGUAAGACUCCGUGCUCCCAAUGCAGGGGGCCCGCGAUUCGAUCGGGGAACUAGAUCCCGCAUGCAUGCUGCAACUAAGAAGUCCAUAUGCCGCACCUAAAGAUCCCGAACGCAGCAACGAAGACCAGGCAUAGAUUAGAUUAGAUAGAUAGAACCGGCGUAGAUGGAUUAGAUUAGAUAGAUAAGAUGGUUAGAUUAGAUAGAUAUUUUUUUUAAAAAAUACCGCUAAGGGAGCCCUAAAACUAAAACAGGAAUUAUAGCGCCAAUUGCGGUCAGCCUGGAACGGUUUGCACGCUGCCUACCAUAAUAGUACGUUAGAAAAUGGUGUUCUGUUUUUGUUUAAAAUAAAGGGAGGGCUAAGGAAUGAUGUGUAUAAAGGCAUGACAUACUGAAUGAUGAAACCCGAGCAAAGGAAGAAAUGCACACGUGUGUCCCACAGCCUGAGUGCCCUGGGCCUGCCCGAGUCCAGCAAGGACGCUGACAGGCAGGAGAGGCUGAGGUCCCGAGAGCUGAGUGUGCCCAGAGCUGCACCUGCCCAGGCCCAGAGGACCUUGUGCAACAGCCCAGGUCACAGAGCCACGAGCCUCAGAAACAACCUCCCCAGGGUGCUCUGGUCAGCGCUGUCAUUACCAUCGACCUCCCCAGUUCUCAAGAAGGGAAAGAGGCAGAAAAUUCAGAGAUUAAUAAACUGAAGUCUGUGUUUUCCUCUUAGA
Aethalodelphis obliquidens (Pacific white-sided dolphin) is the source of this 965-nucleotide long non-coding RNA. RefSeq lists it as uncharacterized. The transcript has 2 exons. The record is from RefSeq and is a predicted model, not a curated record. NCBI's taxonomy places the organism in Eukaryota, Metazoa, Chordata, Mammalia, Artiodactyla, Delphinidae.